RNAcentral lists this ribosomal RNA (390 nucleotides) under uncultured bacterium. RNAcentral describes it as "bacterial SSU rRNA". It matches the Rfam family "Bacterial small subunit ribosomal RNA", at positions 30 to 418 of the family's 1533-position model. The record is from RNAcentral.
AUUGAACGCUGGCGGCAUGCUUUACACAUGCAAGUCGAACGGCAGCACGGGUGCUUGCACCUGGUGGCGAGUGGCGGACGGGUGAGUAAUACAUCGGAACGUGUCCAGAAGAGGGGGAUAACGCAUCGAAAGAUGUGCUAAUACCGCAUAUGCUCUGAGGAGGAAAGUGGGGGAUCGAAAGACCUUACGCUUUUGGAGCGGCCGAUGUCUGAUUAGCUAGUUGGUGGGGUAAGGGCCUACCAAGGCGACGAUCAGUAGUUGGUCUGAGAGGACGACCAGCCACACUGGGACUGAGACACGGCCCAGACUCCUACGGGAGGCAGCAGUGGGGAAUUUUGGACAAUGGGCGCAAGCCUGAUCCAGCAAUGCCGCGUGAGUGAAGAAGGCCUC